AUAACUAUGUUUAAUAUCUGAAGGAGUUCAGGAAACAGUACGUUCAAUGACGCAAAUAGUGGGGGGAAUGUUAUAUUUCUCAUGGAUUUGGAAGAUGCAUUUCACUCAGUUGGGGAAUUUGGCAGCUAUCAAAAAGUGUUAGUUACGUGCUUGGUUCUUUUACAGAUUUAUGCAGCGUGUCAGUGUAUGUUGAUUGUCUUGGUGGGUGCAGAACCUAGGUACCUUGUUGACCUGGAAUCAAAUUCAGCUGGUCAGAAGGACUUUGUCACACAUGUUAAAUUUGCAGAUGAUUUUACUUCCAUAGUGUCUGAGUGGUUCUUAAUUAAAGAAGAUGCUUAUAAGGUUCAUUUGGCUGGAUCGUUGUUUUUUGCUGGGCUUCUCAUUGGAAAUGUUUCAUUCGGACCUUUGUCAGAUAAACUGGGCAGGAAACCAGUAUUUCUGGCAGGCUUGUUCCUUGAAGUUAUCUUUGGAUAUGUGACCUGUUUGGCCCCAAAUUAUGCAGUGUUUGCUGCUUCACGCCUCUUUGUUGGUGUUAUGAAUGGUGGAAUGUCCUUGGUCUCUUUUGUACUGACUCAAGAGUAUGUGGGCAAAGCUUACUGGGCAUUAACAGGCUCAGUAACUAAUCUGACAUUUGCUGUUGGCAUUACGUGCUAUGCCCUGAUGGGUUACUUUGUAAAGGAAUGGAGGAGUCUUGCAGCGGCAGCCAAUUCAUUUGGAGUUCUUUUUUUCCUGUUUGCAGUAAUGCUUCCAGAAUCUCCAAGGUGGUUGUACGCUCAAGGGAAUACUGAAAAAGCAGAGAAACUACUGCAGUACUUUGCCCUCAGAAAUGGAAAUGAAAGAUCAGCUAUUAAACUGAAACCAUGUGCUGGAACAGAGAAAACCAAUGAAUCAUCUCGUGGUGUCUUGGAUAUAGUAAAAAAUCCAGUCCUCCGUUGGAGGACUGUCAUCUUGAUGUAUGUCUGGUAUGUCUGCAGUCUUGUAUAUUAUGGUUUAACACUGAAUACAAGUGAAUUACAAGGAAACCAGUACCUUAAUCUUGCUCUCUCUGGCCUUGUGGAAGUUCCAGCAUUCCCUGUCUGCAUGUACUUUAUUGAGAAACCAUGGGCAGGAAGGCGCAAAACAAUGGCUGGAUUUUUGGUGUUUUCAGGACUUGCAUGUAUAUUUACUAUGGUUUUACCUGAACAGUCUGAAUCAUUCUUGAACACUGCAGUUAUAGCCUUGUGUGGAAAACUGGCAGUGAGUGCUGCAUUCAAUAUUCUGUACAUUUUUACAUCUGAACUCUAUCCCACCGUGGUAAGGAGUGCUGGGCUUGGUAUUUGUGCCAUGUCUAGCCGAUUUGGGGGUAUUUUGGCUCCAUUUGUGCCAUCUAUGAGGUCUGUUAGCACGUCCAUGCCUUUUGUAGUAUUUGGAGUAAGUGGAGUAUCUGCAGGGAUCUUGGAUUUACUGCUUCCAGAAACACUCAAUAAACCAAUUGCUGAAGGAAUGGAUGAUCUGAUCAGUCCAACAUACCAGCUCCUUGAUGCUAAAAAAACAGUGCAGGCAAUCCAGUCAGAAGACACUCCGUAAAAGUUUCAGGAGUAAACAAUUGCAAGAAAUAUGAAUAUCCUGUGGACCAACAAGGGUAUACAAUUCUGCAAGGAGAGAGCACUGAUUUCUUACACUUUUGAAUUCAAAAGUAACAAAAAAUGUGUCUUGUUUGGACACUUAAUUUCAUUAUAUAACAAGUUGAACUCUAGAGCUGCCUUUGCAUAGUCUUACAAAGCAGUAUGUAAUAUAGCUGGGAUACAUAAAAGGAGAAAACAGAAAAGGGACCACAAGUGACAUUAUGGGUCCAGCUUUGAAAAUGCAGAAGAAAUUACAGUACUUGACAGUAUGACAAGUUAACAUUUAUUUGUAACUGAUGCACUGUUGCGUUUUGAACUCUUGAAGAAAGAGGGAUUUAUACUUGUAAUGUCUGUCCUUAUUUAAGGUAAAGUAACAUGGAAAAGGCUUGCUCAUACAGAUGUGGAGAAGAAAAUGGCAAUAAUUUCUAGAGAGCUUUGUCUGUUAACCCUGGAUAAAUGUUUUACUGACAACAAAAAGUCAGAAAGACUGUUUUGUUUAAAAGCAGUUUUUAAAGUACCAUCACACGAUAGCUGUGCCAGAUCAUUUUGUUCUGGGUUUGUCAAAUCAUUGAAUUCAUCUAUUUUUUUUGCAACUGAAUGGAUCUCCGAUCUAGUUUUUAUUACAUUGGUGUGGAGGAAAAUAAAAUUUGAAGGUGUCUUUCAAA
RNA transcript from Protopterus annectens (West African lungfish), 2269 nucleotides. It is a transcript of the gene named solute carrier family 22 member 15-like, with no coding region annotated. Lineage: Eukaryota; Metazoa; Chordata; Ceratodontiformes; Protopteridae. The transcript has 13 exons. The record is from RefSeq and is a predicted model, not a curated record.